RNAcentral lists this long non-coding RNA (2317 nucleotides) under Equus asinus (donkey). Its description in RNAcentral is "lncRNA (ENSEASG00005026207.1)". The record is from RNAcentral. Lineage: Eukaryota; Metazoa; Chordata; Mammalia; Perissodactyla; Equidae.
CAGGCACAGAGUGAGGUAUCUUGUGAAGAGAUGAAUUGGGACAGGAACAGAGACAGUGUAGCGUCCUAUGUUAGAGUCUUGGAUCCGUGCUGCCUGAGUUUGUCAUUUAUGAGCCAUUACCUUGGAAAUGGAGUUGCUGCUGAGGCUUAAGUACACGAUGUGGCUUCUUAUGGUGGCAGCUUUGGCGCUGUGAUGAACAAUUACAGACAUCAAUACACCUGGAGAAGGUGUCCGAGGAGAAAAGAAUUUGUAAAAUCACCUGAAUUAGAAGAAAGUCAUCUUUUUAGUUAUACAGACGACCAUACUACAGUGUAACUUGUAUUCUUGCAUUUAUACAUAUAUUGAUAGAAAGCUUUCCAGAUUUGAUGGACCAAAAGAAUCGUUAGAUCUUUGGAAUCAUAGAGGAAUAAAAUCUGUUUUAUUAAACAAGAAUGUGCUACCCACAGCCAAAGGGGCAUACCACCAUGAUGUAAAGCUUUAGCAGAAAAGUAGUUUAUGAUUAAAUGAUUUUUUUCAUUCUUGUCCCUGAUAGUGACCUGAAGGAUUAAGUAAGCAAUAAGCAUUUUCUUAUAUAGAUUUAAAGUGGCGUCCAGAGAGGUUCUCACAAGGCUACAUGGGUUUUAUUUCAAAUACUUUACAGAUAGCAUUCGUGAAAAUCUUAAACACAAUGUGUGUUCAUGUGUGGAAAUCAAAGACCAGCAUAAUUUUUAGAAAAGUUGCCUGUUUCAUUUCCCAGCUGAGGGGAAUUUAUACUAGCUGUUGUCACAACUGUUAGAGUACCCUCCUCAUCUUUAGGUCAAAGAUGCAUUUUUAAAAAGAGCCAAAAGGCUCAUUUACAGGGCACAAUAGAAAGUAACAGCUGGGAUGACAUUGUUAAUGUCUCCUGGGUAAUCCUGUGAGUUCUCAAGAUGGGCACACAAACUGAAAUACAUAUUUAUUUGAGAAAUCACAGUGGAUCCCAAAAUCUCUUAGGGGCUGUCAGGUAAAUAGCAGCAUUUCAUAGAAGUUAGGAUGUAGUACAGUAUGUGAUAGGUACCAAAAUUGUUGGUUUCUUUUUUCGUGUCUGAUUUGCUUCCUUAUGGCACUCGUGGUGUUAGUUAGGCUGUGCUUCCUCUGCCUGUGCAUUAACAAUUUCUCGCAUCUUUUCACGUUAUUGUGAGAUGAGGCACUUUGUUUGCAUUUUAACCCAAUGAGGAGAAGGAAGGAAGAACACAGUUGAUUAGGUGGGCAUAGAAUGAUUAAGUCAACAAGCAGAAUGGAGCAACCCUAAGGCUGCCAAUGGACUAUGACAGAAAAAACUUUUACCGAUGCAAGGGAGAAAAAUGGAUUCUUGACUAUGAACUAUUGAAUAUUCCUAUGAAUACAAAAGGCAUUCACUGAACUCAUAUCAGAAAGGGUCUUUGAAAGAGUAUUCAUUUGAUGUUUUCAGUAAUUUUAGUGAAGAAUUGAGGCUCUUCUUACUGUUUAUACUGAUUAUAAAGCUCUCUGCUCCAUCCCACUCAAAGAGCUAUUGGCCUAAAUAAGAUGAAGAUGUUUUUCUUGUGACUGAUGUGUUCAUGUGUCCCUUCUCUUUACCCACUUUUUCUGUACCCUGGUUGUGACUUUACCUUUAUGAUGAAGAUAUUCAUUUGACAAUUUGGCUUUGAUUUACCAAGAAAAUCUGGCCCAUUUCUUUAUUUCCCUAUUAGGUCUCCAGCAAGAUAUCGAAUCACUACUUUGAACUAAAUGCAUUUAAAACUAGAUUUAUUCUCUCUCAUACAAAGAUCCUGAUUUGUUAUCAUCCCUAUUUAUAUUAACGAUAUAAUGAUGAUUGUAUCAUUCUCCUCGGCUCAUAAUUCUUAAAGUUAUCUUUGAAGUCCUUUUCCUUCGCACUCCAUAUUCAACCUAUCACUAAUAGUUUCCCACAAGUAUUUGAGUAUUUAGUGCAACAAGUAUUUGAUGUCACAUCCGCAAUAGAUUAGACCUUUGUUACCUCCAAUUUGUACUCUUGCUCUUGGCAUUUGCUUCUAAAAUUUCAUUUCUGAUUCAAACAAAAUAUAAGAGAGUUCCUAAAUUAUGUCACUUCUCUGCCAAUAAAUUAAUAAUAGAUGAAAACAAAAUACAAAAGAUUCGGAUCCUAAAAUUUGACAAUUUAAAUUUGGUUGAUUUAUAGAGCCUGACAUAUUUACUAUGACUUUGGUCUUGGCUCUUUUAAAAGUACUGCAUCCUGAUAACUCCACAAAGUGAAUUAUGAUGCAUUGUGUAUCUGCCACUUAUAAAAUAGUGUGCACAUGUUAAUUUAGUGUUUCAUGAUUAAAUAUAUAUUUGGGUAAGAAAA